UGGGAGACUUAGAGAAGAAUCCGGAAAGUUUUCUUAUUGGUGAACAGAGUGAACUCAGGAAAGAGAUGGCCAUGUUGCAAAAACACUUCAUGAUGGAACAUCAGCAAUAAGAGGUGGCAAUUGUUCGAAAGUCUCUUCAUUCUCUAUUAUUCUGAUGACAUUUGAAGAAAGGACUUGAACUAAGUAACACGAUAAUUGUGGUUUAACAGUUCUAGUUUAAAUGAUCACAUCUUGUUACUCGUUGGCCUGUUUAAGUGUGUAAACCCAAGUGAGACCUAACCAGUUAUGUGAGUGGCAGCAAUUCCAAAGUUAUACGCAGGAAACGUUCAGACCUUUGGUAGUAAUGGGGACUUUUUCUCCCUAACACUGUCAAUUCAAUUUAAGCAAUAAAGAUGAUUUCCAUUUCA
Ailuropoda melanoleuca (giant panda) is the source of this 407-nucleotide long non-coding RNA. RefSeq lists it as uncharacterized. The record is from RefSeq and is a predicted model, not a curated record. The transcript has 2 exons. NCBI's taxonomy places the organism in Eukaryota, Metazoa, Chordata, Mammalia, Carnivora, Ursidae.